GUGGGGUUAUAGCUCAGUGGUAGAAUGCAUGCCUAGCAUGUGUGAGGCACUGGGUUUGAUCCUCAGCACCACA
Molecule: transfer RNA, 73 nt
Filed under: Marmota monax (woodchuck)
Lineage: Eukaryota; Metazoa; Chordata; Mammalia; Rodentia; Sciuridae
Description: tRNA.Ala
Source: RNAcentral